This 471-nucleotide long non-coding RNA is filed under the name Ricinus communis (castor bean). Its description in RNAcentral is "long non-coding RNA (RCOM_LNC003035)". The record is from RNAcentral. Lineage: Eukaryota; Viridiplantae; Streptophyta; Magnoliopsida; Malpighiales; Euphorbiaceae.
GAAAUCAAGGCUGUAAUAAGAUUACGGAGCCAGGCAUAUUUAAAACGUUUUUCAUUGUUCUCCUUUUCUUUUUCUAACUCGUAUUCAUAAAGCGCAAGACACCAAACAUAGCAGGGAUGGCAGCAGUUUGCAGAGAUGAUAAAGGGCAAAAAACCAAUUAAUGAAGAUCAAUCAGGUGCCGAGUAUCAGGGUACUCUUGUCGGGGAAGCAACAGCCUUUUUCUCUUGCUAUGAAGUUGGCUAUACAUUAUGAAAGUUUCAGCAUUGUCUGGUGGAUCUAAAUCAAUCGGAGAAAUUACAAAACUAUUAUGUUGGUUUUGCAUUUUAAUCCUCUGCUAAUUGGGUUUUCGAUACCCCUCCUGAAUUAAAACUCCUUUGUUAAAGAAAUUCUCAGUUCUGUACAGGAAAAAGAGAAAAAGAAAAAAGAAAGACCAAGGAUAUACUUUUCUUCAUUAACUUUUAACUUUCCUGC